This 518-nucleotide ribosomal RNA is filed under the name uncultured Gammaproteobacteria bacterium. RNAcentral's name for it is "bacterial SSU rRNA". It matches the Rfam family "Bacterial small subunit ribosomal RNA", at positions 38 to 546 of the family's 1533-position model. The record is from RNAcentral. Lineage: Bacteria; Pseudomonadati; Pseudomonadota; Gammaproteobacteria.
GGCGGUAUGCUUAACACAUGCAAGUCGAACGGCAGCAUGAUCUGUAGCAAUACAGAUUGAUGGCAAGUGGCGGACGGGUGAGUAACGCGUAGGAAUCUACCCUGUAGCGGGGGACAACCCGGGGAAACUCGGGCUAAUACCGCAUAAUACUCUGAGGAGGAAAGCUAGGAGCAAUUCUGGCGCUAUAGGAGGAGCCUGCGUCCGAUUAGUUAGCUGGUGAGGUAAAGGCUCACCAGGACGAUGAUCGGUAGCUGGUCUGAGAGGAUGACCAGCCACACUGGGACUGAGACACGGCCCAGACUCCUACGGGAGGCAGCAGUGGGGAAUAUUGGACAAUGGGGGCAACCCUGAUCCAGCAAUACCGCGUGUGUGAAGAAGGCCUUCGGGUUGUAAAGCACUUUGGGUGGGGAAGAAGGUAUUCUGUUUAAGAGAUGGGAUACUUGACGGUACCCGCAGAACAAGCACCGGCUAACUCUGUGCCAGCAGCCGCGGUAAUACAGAGGGUGCGAGCGUUAAUC